This 253-nucleotide ribosomal RNA is filed under the name uncultured bacterium. RNAcentral's name for it is "partial 16S ribosomal RNA". It matches the Rfam family "Bacterial small subunit ribosomal RNA", at positions 524 to 776 of the family's 1533-position model. The record is from RNAcentral.
UACAGGGGGUGCAAACGUUGCUCGGAAUCAUUGGGCGUAAAGCGCACGUAGGCGGCGCGGUAAGUCGGGUGUGAAAUCUCGGAGCUUAACUCCGAAACUGCAUUCGAUACUGCCGUGCUUGAGGACUGGAGAGGAGACUGGAAUUUACGGUGUAGCGGUGAAAUGCGUAGAUAUCGUAAGGAAGACCAGUGGCGAAGGCGGGUCUCUGGACAGUUCCUGACGCUGAGGCACGAAGGUCAGGGGAGCAAACGGG